UACGAAGGGGGGCUAGCGUUGCUCGGAAUCACUGGGCGUAAAGCGCACGUAGGCGGCUUUUUAAGUCAGGGGUGAAAUCCUGGAGCUCAACUCCAGAACUGCCUUUGAUACUGAGGAUCUUGAGUUCGGGAGAGGUGAGUGGAACUGCGAGUGUAGAGGUGAAAUUCGUAGAUAUUCGCAAAGAACACCAGUGGCGGAAGGCGCUCACUGGCCCGAUACUGACGCUGAGGCACGGAAAGCGUGGGGAGCAAACAGG
Molecule: ribosomal RNA, 256 nt
Filed under: uncultured bacterium
Lineage: Bacteria
Description: partial 16S ribosomal RNA
Rfam family: Bacterial small subunit ribosomal RNA
Source: RNAcentral